UUAGUCCUAAUUCAUGUUUUGUUAUGCUUUUCAGGAGAUAUGAUGUCAUAAGAACAGCCAACAGCCAUAUAAACAGAGAAGAGCUGUUGUAUUUGCUUCGUGGUGGCCGGCUUGAUGACAAGAUGGAAGAGACAUUGUUGGAAACGCUUCAGCAAGAGGCAUAUGACAAAAAAUUUGGAAUCGUCUCUGUGUACUUUCUUCACUCACUCUAUG
Molecule: long non-coding RNA, 213 nt
Organism: Asparagus officinalis (garden asparagus)
Lineage: Eukaryota; Viridiplantae; Streptophyta; Magnoliopsida; Asparagales; Asparagaceae
Exons: 3
Source: RefSeq, a predicted model, not a curated record